RNAcentral lists this long non-coding RNA (472 nucleotides) under Hordeum vulgare. RNAcentral describes it as "long non-coding RNA (HVUL_LNC003500)". Lineage: Eukaryota; Viridiplantae; Streptophyta; Magnoliopsida; Poales; Poaceae. The record is from RNAcentral.
AAAUUAUGGUCAUUUCUUAAUUAGCAUGCGUGUGACGACGCUUGAAAAUGAUCUGCUUCUUUCUUCUUUUAUUCGUUGUCGGAUAAUUGGUCCCCUCGUUGUGACUUUUCCUUUUUCAGGGAGUACAAUAUUUCUUAGAUAAUGUAGUCGUGCUUCUUCUUUUGAUGCAUGGUUCAUCGUCAUCAUCGUCUUCCCUCAUCGGGUCACCGUACUAGUAGUAGUCUUCCUUGUUGGCCACUCCAUCCAUUCCGACGAUGCUCCUUUUGCCUCUCCUCACGACAACGCGGUUGGAAUAGAGAGGGUCUUUUAUGAAUAAGUAUUGUGUCAGGUGCUUAACGUCUACCCAUGGCUCAUUUUUGGCGGUGGCACUCACGGUAUAGGCAUCGGAUAUACACAUGGUAGUGAAAUGUCGGCUUUCUCUUUGUACGUUUUUAGCCCAUCUGACACGGAACAUCGUCGCGCUAUGCAAUCC